RNAcentral lists this ribosomal RNA (301 nucleotides) under uncultured bacterium. RNAcentral describes it as "partial 16S ribosomal RNA". It matches the Rfam family "Bacterial small subunit ribosomal RNA", at positions 509 to 808 of the family's 1533-position model. The record is from RNAcentral.
CAGCCGCCGCGGUAAUACGGAGGGGGCUAGCGUUGUUCGGAAUUACUGGGCGUAAAGCGCACGUAGGCGGCUUGGUAAGUUAGAGGUGAAAGCCCGGAGCUCAACUCCGGAAUUGCCUUUAAGACUGCCGGGCUAGCAGGUGAGAGAGGUAAGUGGAAUUCCGAGUGUAGAGGUGAAAUUCGUAGAUAUUCGGAAGAACACCAGUGGCGAAGGCGGCUUACUGGCUCAUACUGGACGCUGAGGUGCGAAAGCGUGGGGAGCAAACAGGAUUAGAGACCCCUUAGUCCCUGUCUCUUAUACA